GAUGAACGCUAGCGGCAGGCUUAACACAUGCAAGUCGAGGGGCAGCGUGGAGUAGCAAUACUCUGACGGCGACCGGCGAAAGGGUGAGUAACGCGUGAGCAACAUGCCCGUCACAGGGGGAUAGUCAUUGGAAACGAUGUGUAAUACCCCGUAACACAGGAGGCCGCAUGACCUUCUGUUGAAAGAUUUAUCGGUGACGGAUUGGCUCGCGUGCCAUUAGCUAGUUGGCGGGGUAACGGCCCACCAAGGCGACGAUGGCUAGGGGUUCUGAGAGGAAGGUCCCCCACAUUGGAACUGAGACACGGUCCAGACUCCUACGGGAGGCAGCAGUGAGGAAUAUUGGACAAUGGCCGAGAGGCUGAUCCAGCCAUGCCGCGUGCGGGAGGACGGGCCCUAUGGGUUGUAAACCGCUUUUUUGUGGGAGCAAUAAGAGCCACGUGUGGCUGCAUGAGAGUACCAUGAGAAUAAGCAUCGGCUAACUCCGUGCCAGCAGCCGCGGUAAUACGGAGGAUGCAAGCGUUAUCCGGAUUUACUGGGCGUAAAGUAUCCGUAGCCUGAUAUGUAAGUCUGUUUUCAAAUCCCACGACUCAAUCGUGGAAAGGGAAUGGAUACUGCAUAUCUAGAAGUUAUUGGGGGUUAGUGGAAUUUCCGGUGGAGCGGUGAAAUGCGUUGAUAUCGGAAAGAACGCCGAAAGCGAAAGCAGCUAACUAUGAUUAACUUGACGGUGAGGGAUGAAAGUUUGGGUAGCAAACGGGC
RNAcentral lists this ribosomal RNA (756 nucleotides) under uncultured bacterium. RNAcentral describes it as "bacterial SSU rRNA". It matches the Rfam family "Bacterial small subunit ribosomal RNA", at positions 28 to 777 of the family's 1533-position model. The record is from RNAcentral.